AACCACAUAUUUCGCGUUCGGCUCGAAAGUCGAAACGCACGCCGCCCUCACUCGCGCCUCUCUCUUCAAACCCCAACCCAAACCAUCCUCGACCGCCUCCUCCGCCGCACCGCUUCCCUCUCCCUCCCACCGCCACCGACCGGUGUCUUCAGCUCGAGGGUUUCUCCCUUCCCCCCUCCUCUCCGAUCACCCUCUCAACCCCUCCGAGUCCGAGGAGAGCCUGGUGGAGUCCCGCGACCCGGCUCCCCUCCGCCCUGCUCCCCAGCCGGCCCAUCCCCUCCGCCUCCGCCGACCCACUCGCUUCGCUCGGGGGCACGAACGACCACGGCGACGAUUUCGAGUCGCACAGGAGUUGGUGGGUGGUUCUGGACUGAGCUACAAGGUGGAGCUGUUGAAUUCAGUAUGCAUUGAGCAGGAUCAUUUGCAAGG
Molecule: long non-coding RNA, 429 nt
Organism: Triticum aestivum (bread wheat)
Lineage: Eukaryota; Viridiplantae; Streptophyta; Magnoliopsida; Poales; Poaceae
Exons: 2
Source: RefSeq, a predicted model, not a curated record